Molecule: ribosomal RNA, 497 nt
Filed under: uncultured bacterium
Lineage: Bacteria
Description: partial 16S ribosomal RNA
Rfam family: Bacterial small subunit ribosomal RNA
Source: RNAcentral
GAUGAACGCUGGCGGCGUGCCUAAUACAUGCAAGUCGAGCGAACAGACGAGGAGCUUGCUCCUCUGACGUUAGCGGCGGACGGGUGAGUAACACGUGGAUAACCUACCUAUAAGACUGGGAUAACUUCGGGAAACCGGAGCUAAUACCGGAUAAUAUAUUGAACCGCAUGGUUCAAUAGUGAAAGACGGUUUUGCUGUCACUUAUAGAUGGAUCCGCGCCGCAUUAGCUAGUUGGUAAGGUAACGGCUUACCAAGGCAACGAUGCGUAGCCGACCUGAGAGGGUGAUCGGCCACACUGGAACUGAGACACGGUCCAGACUCCUACGGGGGGCAGCAGUAGGGAAUCUUCCGCAAUGGGCGAAAGCCUGACGGAGCAACGCCGCGUGAGUGAUGAAGGUCUUCGGAUCGUAAAACUCUGCUAUUAGGGAAGAACAAAUGUGUAAGUAACUAUGCACGUCUUGACGGUACCUAAUCAGAAAGCCACGGCUAACUACGUG